AUUGAACGCUGGCGGCAGGCCUAACACAUGCAAGUCGAGCGGAUGAAGGGAGCUUGCUCCUGGAUUCAGCGGCGGACGGGUGAGUAAUGCCUAGGAAUCUGCCUGGUAGUGGGGGAUAACGUCCGGAAACGGGCGCUAAUACCGCAUACGUCCUGAGGGAGAAAGUGGGGGAUCUUCGGACCUCACGCUAUCAGAUGAGCCUAGGUCGUAUUAGCUAGUUGGUGGGGUAAAGGCCUACCAAGGCGACGAUCCGUAACUGGUCUGAGAGGGUGAUCAGUCACACUGGAACUGAGACACGGUCCAGACUCCUACGGGAGGCAGCAGUGGGGAAUAUUGGACAAUGGGCGAAAGCCUGAUCCAGCCAUGCCGCGUGUGUGAAGAAGGUCUUCGGAUUGUAAAGCACUUUAAGUUGGGAGGAAGGGCAGUAAGUUAAUACCUUGCUGUUUUGACGUUACCAACAGAAUAAGCACCGGCUAACUUCGUG
Molecule: ribosomal RNA, 484 nt
Filed under: uncultured bacterium
Lineage: Bacteria
Description: partial 16S ribosomal RNA
Rfam family: Bacterial small subunit ribosomal RNA
Source: RNAcentral